UUCCUCCAACUCUUAGAACCCCAUC
RNAcentral lists this non-coding RNA (25 nucleotides) under Drosophila melanogaster (fruit fly). Lineage: Eukaryota; Metazoa; Arthropoda; Insecta; Diptera; Drosophilidae. The record is from RNAcentral.